AAUUCUCAACCUUUCCAGCUUUUGCGAGCUUGGUCAGGCUUGGAUGUGGGGGUUGCGGGCUUCUCAGAAGUCGGCUCUCCUUAAAUGCAUUAGUGAAACCUUUGUUGAUCAUCUCUUGGUGUGAUAAUUAUCUACGCCAUGGGAGUGUCAGCCUCAACUCUGUUGAGAGGUUCUGCUUCUAAUUGUCCCUCUAGGGACAACUUCUGACC
Molecule: unclassified non-coding RNA, 209 nt
Filed under: Lyophyllum shimeji
Lineage: Eukaryota; Fungi; Basidiomycota; Agaricomycetes; Agaricales; Lyophyllaceae
Description: ITS2
Source: RNAcentral